RNAcentral lists this transfer RNA (73 nucleotides) under Fasciola hepatica (liver fluke). It matches the Rfam family "tRNA". From Rfam's summary of the family: Transfer RNA (tRNA) molecules are approximately 80 nucleotides in length. Their secondary structure includes four short double-helical elements and three loops (D, anti-codon, and T loops). Lineage: Eukaryota; Metazoa; Platyhelminthes; Trematoda; Plagiorchiida; Fasciolidae. The record is from Rfam by way of RNAcentral.
AUUGCAACAGCCCAGUUGGUAGAGCAUCUGCCCGGUAAGCGGAAUGUUGCCCGUUCGAUUCCGGCUUGCGAAG